GGGCCUGUGGCUCAAUGGUAGAGUCUUAAACUCAAUGACAAAAGGUCGCGGGUUCGAAUCUCGCCAGAUCUG
Molecule: non-coding RNA, 72 nt
Organism: Schistocephalus solidus
Lineage: Eukaryota; Metazoa; Platyhelminthes; Cestoda; Diphyllobothriidea; Diphyllobothriidae
Source: Rfam